CCCCCCCCCCCCUCCUUCAAUACGACUUUCAUCUUCUUCAGUAAACCGAAGAGUAGCGGCUAAGUCCAAAAAAAUGAUCCCCGAUCAAUCUUCUUCUUGAGGGAACUAACAAAAAUCCCUAAGCAACUAAAAGGGCAGCCGCUUCCUCUGCUACACAGCAAGUAACAGAACACACUCACACACACCUCCAAGGAUUCAACACCCUUCUUCUUCAUACACCAAAAACACAAAAAAUAGACCCUUCAACCGAACCAGCCGCAUCAAGUAGACGCUGCUUCGUCGGAAUGCCAAUACACCUCUCAGCCGCACCCCUGAACUGCUUGAUUUCAUUUUCGAAGUUGAGUACUCCUAUUUAAAUAGACAGGGUUAAGACGAAGUGGACUCGAGCUCGCCGUCGUUUGGAGGUCUUGGUCGUACCGUACGUGUUCUGAUUCACGGUCUCGUUUGAAAAUUCGAUUGUUGUUGGUGUUUAAACUUAAGAGGUGUUUAUUCUGCAAUUCAAUUGUUAAAGCUGUUUCGGUGACGCUUGAGGUCCGUUACCCCUGUUCAAUUGUUUAUCUUUUCAAUUAGGUCUGUUUGAAUUGGAUUCUGAUUUAAUUUUUAGUCGUUAUAAACUGGAUCUGCGUUUCUGCAUUAAAUGAUAACUUUUGUUGUCAUUGUUGUUCUGAUUCUGAAGUGAAGUAUCGAUUCUUGUCAAUACUUUGCAUUGAUGAAUUAAUUUAGUUCUCUAGUGGAUUGUUGUGCUUUAUUCUAGAGACUAGGAGUUGAAUUAGCAACAUUUGAUGGAAUAUGUGCAUUAUUGUCUAUCAAGGAACAAAGCUGUACAAGUGAAUCUGCUUCUCAUACGGCAAGUUCAGAUUGUUUUUCUAUCUUUUUGUAAUUGUUAUACGUUAUCAUGCCUAUUUCAUGCUAUAAUAAAUUUUCUAUACAUACAUGUAUUAGGAGGAUUCGUGGUUCUAAUAAAUCGGUUUUGCAAUCGAGCCAGUUAAAAGUUCUGCAAUGUAAAGUUCUGCAACGUGUUGUAUUUCUUGGCAGGUGCUGAAAGUAAAAGUACAGCUUUAAAUAUCUUUGAUUCGUUUAGUUUUUAUAUCAGAGGCGUGCUAUAUUAGGCAAUACAUAUUUUAUGGCCCUCCAAAUUUAGUCCAAUUUUCCUAUAAAAAUUGGAAUUGAGAUGUGCCAUAACAAAUAAAAUUUCAAACUCAUGGCCCUUGUAUAAUUAAUCUUGUUUAUCCUUAGAAAUCGAGGCAUGUCAUUUAGCGAAUUUUCAUGGCUCUCGCAAAGUUACAAAUGCGUAGCUGCUUUAGGCGCGUUAUUUUAAUAAUUUACCCUCUUAAACUCGGGUGCGCAUUUAUGUGACCAAAAUCCAAAUAUCAAUAAUUUUAGAUAAAAUAUAUUGAGAAUUGUGGGCGUAUUUAUGUGACGUGGUUCAAGACGUAUUUUAAAUGACAUUGAAAUUUUUUAUUAAAAAUAAUGAAAAGUAGUUAUAAAGUUUAAAAUUGCACAAUAGGCUAAAACAUGUAUUAAAAUCAGAUAAUAGGCCAAUAUAACAGUUGAGCGACCGUGCUAGAACCAUGAAAUUCCGGAGAGCCUAACACCUUUUCCCAGGUUAACAGAAUUUCUUACCCGGAUUUCUGGCUCGCGGACUGUAAAAUAGAGUCAAUCUUUUCCUCGAUUCGGGAUUUGAAUUGGUGACUUGGGACAGUAUAAAUAUCCCAAGUGGUGACUAUGAAUCUAAUUAAUUAUCUCGUUUCGAUUGUCACUUAAAUUGGAAAAAACUCUCUUAUACCCUUCUGGGGUGUACGAAAAAGGAGGCGUGACAGCUCUGGCAACUCUGCUGGGGAAAAGAACCCAAAAUCUCUAGUUCAGGGUUCAGAAUUUGAGCUUAGAUGAAUUGUUAUAUUUGGCUUUAUCUAUUACAUGAUUUUAUUACAUGUGUUAAGCCUAAUGUGCUAAGUACUGCUUUUACCACUUUGAUAUUAUCUAAACUGUAUAUAAACUGCUACGGAGCCUUUUUCUUCCCAUCUUUGGGGAUGUGCACGCUGGUCAUGACUCCCUAUUCUGUUAAUGUCAUACAUUGAAAUAUGAAAGAGGCUCGGACAAGUUACGACGCCGGAUGGCCUUUUGGUUUUCGGUAUGUAGCCCCCUCCUCGGCUCGAGUUGUCCGCUCGGAUACACAAUUUUAGAAGAAAUACUCAGGUUUUAAACCUAGAAUAACUCAGCCUCAUGCCGGAUCCCUAGUAGGAACAGUUGUUUGCAUCAUGUGCAUUUGACUUUGGAGACUCAAUACAGGCUUUAGGUCUGUCUAGCAUAGAUGUACUCGAAAUAAAAAAAAACUAUCCUGAUGCAUCCUAAUAUGCUACAUAUUGCAUUUCUUCAAGAGUUAAAGGGUCAGUUGGCGGACAAAUGAUAGUUGAGGGAAAAUAAAAAAGAAAAAGAAAAUAAAAUAGGGUGAAAUGUGAAGAUAAAGCAAGUAGUGCCCAAUUAUGUUUUCUGUCACAUGUUGUUGAGCAAAAAACAUGAAAAAUGAAAAAAAAAAUUAUUUUGCACUUUUUCAUCAUUUUCGAAAAUAGAAAAAAAAAAUCCAAAAAGAUUUUGCAUGUUUUCAUCAUUUUUCAAUAAAAAGCAAAAAAAUAUAUUUUCUCUAAAUUAGUUAUUUUUUUAAUUCUUGGUCAUAUACAAUUUGCCCGAACUAUGCAAACCUGAUUCUCGUCUUUCGAGGUAUGAUACGUAGGAUACCCACAUAUGGUUUGCUCUUUCUAGUAAAUCUCAGGUUCUUGGAUUUGGGGGGUCUUAGCCAAAUUUUGCACUUCUAGGCACCUUUUGGCUAAAUAAGAUAUUUUACAAAAAUAAUCGCAACCAUGUCUUGCAUGUGUCUAAUAGGAAAUGUUAUUGUCUCACAUAGUAUUGGUUUAAGUUUUCUCAUACAGGUGUGGAUUUACCUACCGGAGUUUGAGCAUGAUAGAUACCCCAGGAUCACUACAUGCAGCAGCUGCUGGAGGAGCCAU
RNAcentral lists this long non-coding RNA (3005 nucleotides) under Nicotiana benthamiana. RNAcentral's name for it is "long non-coding RNA (NBEN_LNC014532)". Lineage: Eukaryota; Viridiplantae; Streptophyta; Magnoliopsida; Solanales; Solanaceae. The record is from RNAcentral.